CCUACGGGAUGCUGCAGUGAGGAAUAUUGGUCAAUGGACGAGAGUCUGAACCAGCCAAGCCGCGUUAAGGAUGACUGCUCUAUGAGUUGUCAACUUCUUUUAUAUGGGAAUAAACUGUUCCACGCGUGUCUUUCUGUAUGUCUCAUAUGAAUACGGAUCGGCUAACUCCGUGCCAGCAGCCGCGGUAAUACGGAGGAUUCUAGCGUUAUCCGGCUUUAUUGGGUUUAAAGGGUGCGUAGGUGGUCGGUUAAGUCAGUUGUGAAAUUACGAGGCUCAACCGUGAAAUUGCCGUUGAUACUGGCAGGCUAGAGUGCAGUAGAGGUAGGCGGAAUGCAUGGUGUAGCGGUGAAAUGCUUAGAGAUCACACAGAACUCCGAUUGCGAAGGCAGCUUACCAAGCUACAUCUGACGCUGAGGCACGAAAGUGUGGGGAGCAAACAGGAUUAGAUACCCGAGUAGUC
This 460-nucleotide ribosomal RNA is filed under the name uncultured bacterium. Its description in RNAcentral is "partial 16S ribosomal RNA". It matches the Rfam family "Bacterial small subunit ribosomal RNA", at positions 338 to 795 of the family's 1533-position model. The record is from RNAcentral.